CUGCCAGGAGCUCAUGUGAGGCCCAGCCCGUGGCCAGCUAGGGAAAGAGUAUGGAGCUGUCUCUGCCUGUGGUUGUGGGAAGCUUCCAGAUUGCUGGUGUGAAAGGACGUGAAGACUGUUAUCUACCAGAGUGAUGUUUUUAUAAUGAAGCUGUGGGAAUGUGUUGCAUGAAGUGCCUUGUGGCAAGAGGAGUGUUUGAGGGUGCAGCGUUGACUGCUGCAAAGUUAAGAGUGUUUGCUGCACUUGCUCAGAGCAAGUGGAAAAAAUAUAGAGAAUAAUUUUCUGAGUAUUAGCUAUGCCAUGGAGGGACAGUUCAGCCUUGCUUUCCACUGAGAUGAGUCAACUGAAACCUGCUCUGACUACAGGGCAGAUGAGCUCCAUAAUGUCUCUAACCUUUGUUCUGCAGGUGUGCAAACCUAAGGACCUC
Long non-coding RNA from Empidonax traillii (willow flycatcher), 427 nucleotides. RefSeq lists it as uncharacterized. The transcript is spliced from 3 exons. The record is from RefSeq and is a predicted model, not a curated record. Lineage: Eukaryota; Metazoa; Chordata; Aves; Passeriformes; Tyrannidae.